ACGGGGCGCAGCAGGCGCGAAAACUUUACAAUGCGGGAAACCGUGAUAAGGGGAUCUCGAGUGCCAGCAUAUAAUGUUGGCUGUCCAGAUGCCUAAAAAGCAUCUGUUAGCAAGGGCCGGGCAAGACCGGUGCCAGCCGCCGCGGUAACACCGGCGGCCCGAGUGGUAACCGCUAUUAUUGGGUCUAAAGGGUCUGUAGCCGGCCAGGUAAGUCCCUUGGGAAAUCUGGCAGCUCAACUGUCAGGCUGCUAGGGGAUACUGUUUGGCUUGGGACCGGGAGAGGUGAGAGGUACCUUGGGGGUAGGGGUGAAAUCUUGUGAUCCUCGAGGGACCACCAGUGGCGAAGGCGUCUCACCAGAACGGGUCCGACGGUAAGGGACGAAAGCUAGGGGCACGAACCGGAUUAGAUACCCGUGUAGUCC
Molecule: ribosomal RNA, 422 nt
Filed under: uncultured bacterium
Lineage: Bacteria
Description: bacterial SSU rRNA
Rfam family: Archaeal small subunit ribosomal RNA
Source: RNAcentral